GACGAACGCUGGCGGCGUGCUUAACACAUGCGAGUCGAACGGAAAGGCCCUGCUUUUGUGGGGUGCUCGAGUGGCGAACGGGUGAGUAACACGUGAGUAACCUGCCCUUGACUUUGGGAUAACUUCAGGAAACUGGGGCUAAUACCGGAUAGGAGCUCCUGCUGCAUGGUGGGGGUUGGAAAGUUUCGGCGGUUGGGGAUGGACUCGCGGCUUAUCAGCUUGUUGGUGGGGUAGUGGCUUACCAAGGCUUUGACGGGUAGCCGGCCUGAGAGGGUGACCGGCCACAUUGGGCUUGGGGUGGGGCCCAUGCCGCAGCGGGGGGAAGGGGGGGGAAAUAUUGCACAAUGGGCGGAGGGCGUGGAGAACAACCCCGGGUGGGAGAGGACGGCCUUCGGGUUGGAAACCCCUUUCGCCUGUAACGAGGGGUUAGGAAGGGAAAUGGGUAAAGAAGCCCGGGCUAACUCCGG
Molecule: ribosomal RNA, 467 nt
Filed under: uncultured bacterium
Lineage: Bacteria
Description: partial 16S ribosomal RNA
Rfam family: Bacterial small subunit ribosomal RNA
Source: RNAcentral